UAAACAUCCAACAUGGUGUCGACUGUAUCUAGCAGAGAUACCACCGAAUAUGACGAAAAGAAAAGAAAGACAAGGAAACUGCCUUCAAAAGUUACUAAAAAAGGAUCGAAACGAUGCUAUAUGCAUCUCACAGAUGUCCAGGGCGAAGACGUGCAGGACUUUACACAGAAACGGUGGGACGCUUACAGUGGCUUUCUCUAUAUAUUUUUUUAAACGCCGGUUGCAGAAGGCUGCUGAGCUGAAGGAGGACACCAGCGUGCUUUUGCACAUUAAAGAAAAAGACUGUGCGGCCCUGUAGGUGCAGUACCACAGGACCAGUUACACACAGUACACAAAGUUUUUGUCAAGGCCUAUGGAAACAAAUACUGCAACACCAGGUGAAGCAACUGAAACACCCUUCACUGACAGCUACAAUUUCUUCUGUGAGACUGUCAUCCGUCAAAGGAUUAUAGUUGACCAGGAAGUGCUGCGAAUAGACAAGCUACGAAAGACAUUCAUGGACAUAGUGAAGAAUCAAGAGGGUCUUCAUGCUUCAGAAUACAGGCAGGAUCUACUGAAGAGGCGGCUGACGUGUGACUUCCCGCAGCUCAUUUUCCACUGCCCUGCCAAGAGAAACACCAGUGAACUUGUUUUUGUUGAGACACUGUCAGCUGAUAGACUAUUAAAAAAGAUACCUCCACAGUCAGGUACAUCUACUGAGUCCACUGAGGUAAGCCAAGCUGAAAGCCAAACUGAAAGUGACAGAGAACACAUGGCUAGCACAACAUCUGGAUGACUAAAAAUCCUGCCCCUGAUAGUGUUUUGCAGAUAGUCCACUGCAGUUGCAAGACAACCAAAUGUGAAAUUGAAAGAUGUUCUUGUAUGUCUGCAAGACUGUCUUGUACAGAUUUAUGUCGGUGCCAAGCAUGCGAGAAUGUUUCAAAAGAAACAGACAACAGAGCUGUAUGGGAUGAUGACUUUGAUGAAAGUGAUAUUGAUGAGUAAUAUACACACCAUGUCACCAUGUACAGUUUUUCUUUGUCUUUCUUUAUUUUUUUUCUAUAUUUGUAUGUAUAUUAAUCUAUAUUUUCAUAUUCAGAGAGACUGCCGUAUUUGAAUAAAUGUUUUAUACCAUA
Molecule: long non-coding RNA, 1115 nt
Organism: Acanthochromis polyacanthus (spiny chromis)
Lineage: Eukaryota; Metazoa; Chordata; Actinopteri; Pomacentridae
Exons: 3
Source: RefSeq, a predicted model, not a curated record